ACAGGGGCUCUCAGGAGCCAUUUUCCCCCCGCUUGGUCACCAUUCAUCGUAGUUGACCCUCCGUCAACUCUCACUACCUACAAUCCAUGUAGAGCAUCUCAUUUUGAUACCUAACCCGUCACCAUCCAUACCCCGGUCCCGGGCCCGCUCACCGACUAAGGACGUGGUAUACUCGAGAUAUACCCGUCAUGGUAGUUGGAUACAGAAGUCGAGGGAUUCACCCAACGACGCAACUGCAUUUAGAUUUAUGGUAGUUGGAUACAGAAGUCGAGGGAUUCACCCAACGACGCAACUACAUUUAGAAUCAAGGAUUCAGGAGGAAAAAUGCUUUUACACAAGUCACCACUCGAACGGCUAGUGUGAUAAAGUACACACAGCUCACUUCGAUGGAUCAAAAGCUCAUUUUACAAUUUAUCACGUAUCAAGUCAAGAAAACACUUAAUUCAAGUAGGAAAGGAACAGGCAGGGACACUCACCAAGAGUGGAGUUCAGAUAUCAAGUUGGAAAUCGAAUCCGCGUCCUCGCAAUAUCCUAGAAUACCAAAUAUUGAAACUAUAAGUUUCUAUUCAGUUUUUUUUUUAAGCUUAUACACAUCGAGGUUUAUCUAAUAUAUUACUAGUUUAUUUUCCCAUAGUAAUUUCAAGAAUCUACUUAGGUUGAAACUUGACAAAAGUAGUGGAAAUGUUUCUUAUAGUUUUCCUUGGGAUAUUUUUCCUUAGAAAAGGGUAACUAGUAUCAUUUUCUUGAAAUAAGUCGACAAAUCUCUUAAUAUCCACGUUAGGAAGUUACUUUGAACAUUUCUUUAAAGCUAUGGUUUUUGCAAAAAUUAUUACUAAAACUAUUUUACCUAAAAAUAAGGUUUCUUGCCGUGCAAGUUCCUAUGCUUUUAACUAAAAUUAUUAAAACUCGUAUUUUGGCACUUUUCC
Molecule: long non-coding RNA, 926 nt
Filed under: Coffea arabica (coffee)
Lineage: Eukaryota; Viridiplantae; Streptophyta; Magnoliopsida; Gentianales; Rubiaceae
Description: long non-coding RNA (CARA_LNC005357)
Source: RNAcentral